Molecule: ribosomal RNA, 251 nt
Filed under: uncultured bacterium
Lineage: Bacteria
Description: partial 16S ribosomal RNA
Rfam family: Bacterial small subunit ribosomal RNA
Source: RNAcentral
GCAAGUCGAGGGGUAACAGGGAUUGCUUGCAAUCCGCUGACGACCGGCGCACGGGUGAGUAAUAUAUAGGUAACGUGCCUUCAAGAAGGGGAUAACGUUUGGAAACGAACGCUAAUACCCUAUAUGCCUUUAAGACUUAAGUCUGCAAGGGAAAUAUUUAUAGCUUGAAGAUCGGCCUGUACAGUAUCAGUUAGUUGGUGAGGUAAUGGCUCACCAAGACAAUGACGCUUAACUGGUUUGAGAGGAUGAUC